Molecule: long non-coding RNA, 7311 nt
Filed under: Manihot esculenta (cassava)
Lineage: Eukaryota; Viridiplantae; Streptophyta; Magnoliopsida; Malpighiales; Euphorbiaceae
Description: long non-coding RNA (MESC_LNC004176)
Source: RNAcentral
UUGAAUUACGCCAAAAAAAGCAGAAACAACCAUGCAAAUGAUGAUGAGUUUGAUGAUCUUUUGGAGGCAGCAAUCAAGGAUUACCAACACUACUAUCACCUGCAAGCCACAGGAGUUUUAGACAAUAAUACAGUAUCUCAAAUGACGAAACCUAGAUGUGGGGUGCCAGAUGUUGUCAAAAAUGGCACAAACAAGCACUACCAUAAUCCCAAAUCCAUCCACUCAGUAGCCCAUUUCAGCUUCUUCCCUGGACCCCGAAGAUGGCCAGCAGAGAGAAGCCAUUUAAGAUACAGGUUUCGUUCCAGUGUGCAAGUCCCUGGAACUGGCAAUUUCAGGUCCAUAUGUGCACAAGCAUUUCAGAGAUGGGCACAAGUUACCCACUUCACAUUCGAGGAAGUUGAUGCUAAUUCUGAGGCAGAAAUCGAGAUUGGAUUUCACAGGAGGUUCCAUGGAGAUAGUGACCCCUUUGAUGGAAUAUCAGGGACUUUCGCACAUGCAACUGCACCAACUCAUGGAAGGUGCCAUUUUGAUGGAGAUGAGAUAUGGAGUGGAAAUCCUGGACCUAAUGAGUUGGACUUGGAAUCAGUUGCAGUGCAUGAAAUCGGGCACCUUCUAGGUCUAGACCAUAGUGAAGACCCAAAUGCUAUAAUGUAUUCUACCUUUGAUUAUGGGAUUACCAAAAGGGAUUUGGGUACUGAUGAUAUUCAAGGAAUUCGUACUCUGUAUGGAUUGCAGUAAUGAGUUCAUUAUUCUUAUUACAAUAAGAGCAACUGAGAUCCAAUAUGCUUUGGAGGGUUUAGUGCUACGUAGUUUGAAUAUAAUAUUUUUGAUAAUUCUCAUUUGUAUCACUAGGAAAUAUAUAAAUAAAAGAAAUCUCAUGGUUUUGUAAUUUCAAAUCCUUUUAAAACUAUAUGACUUCUUUAUAAAAUCUCUACACAAAGAUGUAAAAAAGAAAAAAAAAAAAAUCAAAUGUCUUAAUGAUCAGUAUUGAGUAUAAUUAAUUAAACUUGUAUAAUGCAUUAAUUUUAUUUCCAUUUGACUAUUAUUUUAAUUUUACAGUCCUUUUAAAUGAUAAAAUUACUUAUCUUACAAAUUAAAAUAUAUAAUUAAAAAAUAUAUAUGUAUUCCAUCUAUUUCAAUUUACCAACUUUAUUACAAGUGAAUGAAUACUUUUUUACGAAAUAAUCUUUUAAAAGCAAAUACUAUAAUUUUUAGAUUUAGUUAGUGGAAAGACAUAAUUAAAACAGAGAAAUCAAUAUUCAAUAUGUAGAAGGAUUUGAUUUAAAUUUUAGCAGAAGUCCCAAGAUUUUUUUAUGAUUUUUCAAUAUCGGGAACUAUAAGUAUUGAUUAAAAUGAUUUCUAAAAGUUAAUUUAUUUUUAAAUAUAUCUUUGACAAAUCCAACUAGAGAAAAAUUAUAACAAGAUUAGGGAUGGCAGGCGGGCGGGUUUUCAUGGGUAUCCGAUCCGCCCAAACCCUAUUAGGACGGAUUUGGUUUUUACAAAAUGGAUUUGGGCGAAUUCGGAUUUGAAAAAUUUUACCCGUCUCGGAUUCGGGUAGGGUUCGGGAUUAGGUAAUCGGAUACCCAUUACCCGAACCCGAUUAACUAUACUAACAAAACUAACCCUAAUCUCUAAUUUAUUUUUUUAUUUUACUCUUUCCUCUCUUCAUCUACAUCUCUCUCUCCCUCGCUUCCCUUCCCAUAGUUCUCAGCCACGCCCCUCCCCCACUUCACUGCCGGCAGCCCAGUCGUCACCGGCGACGUCUCCUUUCUCUCCCCAGUCGACGAUAAAUCUUCUCUUUCCUCCGUCAGCAAUAUCUCCUUCUCUCUCUCCAGCGGCGACAUCUCCGACUUUCCAGUUGAAGACAACUCUUCCCUGUGCCCGGUCGACGUCGGCGAUAUCUCCUUCUCUCUUCCUAGUCGGGUGAAAUCUACUCUUUUCAAUUUACGCUUCUCUCCCCGCACUUCACUGACGCUAGAGACAACCCUUCUCUCCUCAAUCGGCGACAUCUGCUUUGACUAGAACUCUCUUCAGGUUUCAAGAUCUUUUAUGUGUAUGUUCUUAAAGAAUUUUAUAAUUUAUAAACUAUUAAUCUGAUUAUUUGGAUAUAUUAAAAAAUCUAAUUAUUUGCUAUUUGAUUAAUGUAAUACUGUUGAUUUUUAAAAUUUAUGGACAAUUAUCUAAUUAUUUGAUUAUAAAUCAAUAUUUGUUGGGUUGCUGAGUUGCUGGUUCUUGUCAUUGAACAUUUCUCCUCCUACUGAAUUGUGCAACUGUUAGAUAGUUUAUUUGGUUUUGUCAUUGAAUGAAAUUAAAAAAAUUAUUUGCUGAGUUGCUGGUUUGUAUCGAGUUCGGGUAUUGUGCGGGUAUUGUUAAACGGGUUUGGAACGGGUUCGGAUAGUAAAAUUAAAAUAUUAAACGAGUUUGGGACGGGUUCGGGAAUUGUAUAUAUAAUCGGGUUUGGGUUUGGGUACUCUCAAUUUCGCGGGUACCCUACCCAUUUACAUCCCUAAACAAGAUAAGUAUCGAUUAAAAUGAUUUCUAAAAGUUAAUUUAUUUUUAAAUAUAUCUUUAACAAAUCCAUCUAGAGAAAAAUUAUAACAAGAUAAUUCUUCAAUAAUAAAUUUGCCAUACAAACAUAGGUUUUUCUAUUUCAAAGUUACUUAGUUCUUCUCUAUAAAAUGUGAAUUACCUUAUGCACUAUAAAAAAACCUUCGGAUUAUCCACAGAUUUUAUCAACGAAUUUUAAUCUGUUAAUAAUUUUAAUAAAUUUAAAAAUUAAUUAGUAAUUUUUAUAUAAUUUAUAUGUAUUAUUAAAAAAAUUUAAAAAUGAGUGGUAAUUUAUAAAUAAUUAAAAUAAUCGGUGAUGAAAUUUCCUAACGAAUUUAAAACCUAUUAGUAAAUUCUUUGAUAAUUUACUAAUAAAUUUCAAUAUGUCAGUAAAUCUAAAAAAAUAUUUAAAUUAAUAACAAAUUAUAAAUCUAUUACUAAUAUAUUUAAAAAAUCAUUAUCGAAUUUAAAAAUUUAUUAUUAAAUUUUAUUAUUAUAUUAAUAAAUUAAAAAAAUAUUAAAUUUAUCGAUGUUAUCCAUUAGUAAAUCAUUGAUAAAUUUAAAAUGAAAUCAGAUGUAAAAUUUUUACUUUUUCUUUAGAUUUAUAGUUGUCGGUUAAUGACGAAUUUCAAAUCCGUCGAGAAAAAAUCUAAUUUCUUUUUUUGUAAAAUUUAGUAACGAAUUAUGAAUCCAUUACUAAUUCAUAUUUAUAAAUAUAACACUAUCUCUUUUUCUUUUAUUACUCAUUCAUUUUAUCAUUUUUUUUUAUUUUUUUUCCCUUUCUCUCAUUUUUUUUCUUUUUCUAUUAUUUUCUUUUUCACUUUAUUAUUUCAUAAUUUUUUUUAUUUUUUCUAUUAUUUUCUUUUCUAUCUCUUAUAUUUUUUUUCUCUCAUUCUCUUUUCUCUUUUAUUAUUUUUUUCAUUUUUUUCUCAUAAUUUUCUUUUAGCUUUCUCCAUUAUUUUUCCAUCAUUUUCUUCCCUUUACCUCUCAUUUUCUUCAUUUUCUAUAUAAUUCAUUCAUAUUGCCCUUAUUUGAAAUGUCAAAUUUUGAAAGAAUUCGAAAAAUAAAUAAAUUCCUUUAUUAAAUUUUUGUGUUUGGUACAAUCAAUAAUAUAAAAUUUUAAUUUUCUUGAUUUUCGUGAGAAUUGAUUUUGAAUUAAAAGUAAAUUUUGCCAAAAUUAUUGAAUUUUUACAAAAAAAAAAUUUUAUUUAAAGUUACAUCAAAAUUACUUAAUUAGCCAUUGAAUUUUUUUUUUAAAUUUAAUUUUAAAUUUAUUUCUUAUUUUUAAUUAAUAAUUACUCUUUAUAAAAAUUAUUUUAAUUUAAUAGUAACUAUUAAUAUUUAAUGCAUUUAUAAUUAAUAUUAACAAAUUUAUUAUAUUAUUUUAUUAAUUUUAAAAAUAUUUUUUAUAUUUUAAUGGUAAAAAAUUACGUAAAAUUCAAACUUUAAAUAUUAAUAAUGAUUGUGAUAAAAAUGAAUGUUAUUUAUAAAAAUAAAUAUUUAUAUUUGUUUAAAAAUAAUAAGAAUAUAAAUGAAUUAAAUUAAAUUAAAUUUUAUUAUUAAUUUGUCUAACAUAAAUGAGUUAAAUUGAAUUCUAUUAUAUUUAAAUUGAUUCUAAAUAAAUGAAUUUUUUCAGAAAUAAAUUGAAUUUUUUAAUGAAUUGCAUACCAAAUAAGGGCAUUAAUUACUCUCAUAUUAUAUUCUUUUAUCAUUUUUCUUCUAUCAAUAUUUCUUUCUAUUAUUCUCUUUUUUUUUAUUUUCUUGUAUAAUUAUUUGUCCCUUUUUUUUCAUUUCUCUAAUCAUUAUUUUACUCUAUAUUCAUUCUUCCUUCUUUUUUCAUAAUUUUUAUUUUUUUAUUAUUUUCUUUUUUUAUCAUUUUCUCUUCAUCUAUAUUAUUUAUUUUUCUCUUAUUUUUAUUUUUAUGUAUUUCUAAUAAAUAUUGAAUAUAAAUUAAGAAUUUAGUAACAAUAAUAAUAUAAUUUUAAAUUUUAUUGAAGUAAUAAAAAAUAAUAUUAAUAAUAAAAUUUAUUAUUUAAUUAAAAUAAUAAUUAUUUUUAAAUUAUUUAAAUUUUUAAUAUGAAUUUAGUGACAAAUUGCAAUCUGUUAUUAAUUUAUUAAUGGAUUUAUCAACAGUAUCUGUUAAUAAAAUAUUUUUCUUUCAAUUUAUUAAUAAAUUUAAAAUUCAUUAGUAAUAAUAACAGAAAUUUCACUGAUAAAUAUGUUAAUAUUUUUUAAUAGACUUAAAAACUAUUGGUAAAAAUUUAUCGACGAAUUUUUUCAUAACGGAUUGUAAUCCAUUAGUAAUCAUUAUAAACGAAUUACUAAUAAAUUUUAAUUAAUUAGAUUAUUAACGAAAAAAUUCAUUGAUAAUGCAAAAAUUUCUUAACAAUCAUUUGACUGUUAUCUUAAUUUUACAGUCUCUUAAAUGAUAAAAGUGAUAGGAUGCAAAUUCUGCCUAUUUAGUAUAUGUUUUAAUAUAUUUAAUUUGAUUUGAUUUUGCUAAAUUAUGAAUAUUUUUUUCCCUUUUAUAAUAUUAGCCAAUUUUAUUCAUUCUAGAAAGAAAAAUUCUAUUUUAAAAGUUUAGACAAGAAUCAGAAUUGGAGUCCUAAAUCUAGCCUUGAACAUGUCUUAUACUGUGAGCACAACUUAUAUGAGUUAACUUAUAGUGAGAAGUGAAUGGAGUCAUGAAAUAAAUCUUAGGCAUGCUUCAUAUAAAGGUCACACAUAGAAUUUAUUGAAAAGCAAGUAAAGCUAUAGAGUAAACCUUGGGCUAAGCAUGCACAGACUUAUGCAAUGUCACAGAAUUUUCAUAUCUAAUUCUCUAUUAAAUUGUAAAAAUCAAUUUAGGAAGAAAUGAUUUUACAAAGAAAUGACACUUUUAGAUUGUUACUUCUAGAUUUUCUUUUAUUUCUCUUUAGUUUAGGAUUACUCUCGUUUAAAAAAUGGAAGGUUCUUUGAAUGGGAGAACUUUUGAAACUCAUGAUGCUUUACUUUUUUGCUUUUAUGAUUAGUUCUUUGAAUGGAAAAAUGGAAGAUUCUUUGAAUUAAAAAAACACAUAAAAAAAUAUUCACACAAGUGUAAUCAAACUGAACUGAACUGAUUUUUGUAAAAUUUAGAUUCAUUUAUUAAAAAAUUUUAAAAAUUCGACCUCGAGCUGGUUUAAACUCAAUUCGAAAAUUAAAUACUAUAAUCGAGUUCAGUUCACACUCGACUCAUAAAAAACUCGUUUAGUAUAAUAACGAAUCUAAUAACUUGACUCAUAAAAAACUCAUUUAGUAUAAUAAUGAGUCUAAUUUCAACUUUAAUAUGAAAAUUUGAAUUAAAAAAUUUAAAUUCGAAAAAUUCAAUUAAAAAACUCCAACUCGAAAAAUUCUAAAACAAUUUGAUGAUUUAUUUUUAAUUGUAAUCAAUUAAAUUAAAAGUUAAAACAAUAUAUUAUCAUUUAAUUCACAUCAGAUCAACUUACCUUGCGUCCAUCUAAAGAUACUAAUUAAUUAAUUAGUUAGAAGACCUUCUAGAGUGUCAAUAGCAAUAAUGCCGAUGAAAUAGGAUCUCCACACUUGCUUUUCGUUGUUUAUAAAGGAAUUUAAUAAGAAUGUUUUUAAAGUGUUGAUUUGAUUUGUCCGCAUAAAUUGAGGGAAAAAGAACAAAAAAGGAAAGGACGAAGCAAUUCAUAUAUAUAAUAACAAGUUUUUCCAAAAAGAGAAAACACGAUAUUUUUUCCUAAAUCUAAACUAAAAACAGACUUUAAAAAAAAAAAAAAACUGUAUGCAUGUUUCUCCAAAAUUUAACAAGGAUUCGAGUAUGUGUCUCCAAAAUUUAGUAGAAAAUUUUGAAUAUGCAAAUUAACAAUUUAUUUGAGUGUAUAAAUAAUUUGGAUUGAACAAAUAAUUUUCUCAAUUUCCUCAUUUUUUAGGAAGGCUUUGUAGUGCGUCAAGGGCAGUGGGUUCCAAGCAACUAAAUAAUUAGAUUGACUUCCCACUUGCUUUUCCUUUUUGGCAACGGGAAAAUAAGACCACUUAAUGAGAAUUACUAGGAAAUGAUAAACAUCAAUAAAUAAAUAAUUCAAGAGGAAGACUAGGUAGACUAUUCUUCUGAUGGCCAGAAAUUUUCAUAUACUUUAACAUAGAAAUUAAGAAUUUUCCUUCAGUCUAAAUUAACCCCUUGUCGAAGGCAAGACUUUUAUAAGUCUUUCUAAGUAAACAUAUAUAGAAACUAAGCACUAUAAAUAGAUACAGAAACUCCAUUCAUUCCCACCAAACAUAAGCACUAAUCUCCAACCUCAAUUGAUUGGUAGUUGGAGACUUUUAGCAGCUCAAUCCAAUGAUUCCUAAAACCUUCCAACUUUUUGGAGCCAUUUUGCUCCUCUUCUUGUUUCAGUUACCAAACAGAAUCCAAUCAAAACCAAGUGGAAAUCCUUUUGGGUUUAUCCAACACCUAGAGGGAUGCCACAAGGGUGAAUCUAUAAGUGGGCUCAAGGACCUUAAACGAUAUCUUGAGAAAUUUGGGUACUUGAAUUACGCCGAAAAAAGCAGAAACAACCAUGCAAAUGAUGAUGAGUUUGAUGAUCUUUUGGAGGCAGCAAUCAAGGAUUACCAACACUACUAUCACCUGCAAGCCACAGGAGUUUUAGACAAUAAUACAGUAUCUCAAAUGACGAAACCUAGAUGUGGGGUGCCAGAUGUUGUAAAAAAUGGCACAAACAAGCACUACCAUAAUCCCAAAUCCAUCCACUCAGUAGCCCAUUUCAGCUUCUUCCCUGG